GAGCGUAGGUGGCUUGAUAAGUCAGAUGUGAAAGCCCCGGGCUCACCUGGGAACGGCAUCUGAUACUGUUAAGACUAGAGUAGGUGAGAGGAAGGUAGAAUUCCAGGUGUAGCGGUGAAAUGCGUAGAGAUCUGGAGGAAUACCGAUGGCGAAGGCAGCCUUCUGGCAUCAUACUGACACUGAGGUUCGAAAGCGUGGGUAGCAAACAGGAUUAGAUACCCUGGUAGUCCACGCCGUAAACGAUGUCUACUAGUCGUUGGGUCCCUUGAGGACUUAGUGACGCAGCUAACGCAAUAAGUAGACCGCCUGGGGAGUACGGCCGCAAGGUUAAAACUCAAAUGAAUUGACGGGGGCCCGCACAAGCGGUGGAGCAUGUGGUUUAAUUUGAUGCAACGCGAAGAACCUUACCUGGUCUUGACAUAUCCUGAAUCCUGCAGAGAUGCGGGAGUGCCUUCGGGAAUUAGAAUACAGGUGCUGCAUGGCUGUCGUCAGCUCGUGUCGUGAGAUGUUGGGUUAAGUCCCGCAACGAGCGCAACCCUUGUCCUUAGUUACCAGCGGUUUGGCCGGGAACUCUAAGGAUACUGCCAGUGACAAACUGGAGGAAGGCGGGGACGACGUCAAGUCAUCAUGGCCCUUACGACCAGGGCUACACACGUGCUACAAUGGUAGGUACAGAGGGCAGCUACACAGCGAUGUGAUGCGAAUCUCAAAAAGCCUAUCGUAGUCCAGAUUGGAGUCUGCAACUCGACUCCAUGAAGUAGGAAUCGCUAGUAAUCGCGGAUCAGAAUGCCGCGGUGAAUACGUUCCCUGGGCCUUGUACACACCGCCCGUCACACCAUGGGAGUUGAUUGCUACCAGAAGAUCUUAGCUUAACCAGUCAGGACAAGGUACCCCCUAGAG
RNAcentral lists this ribosomal RNA (900 nucleotides) under Psychrobacter sp. 22F07-Zb2-10. RNAcentral's name for it is "bacterial SSU rRNA". It matches the Rfam family "Bacterial small subunit ribosomal RNA", at positions 567 to 1464 of the family's 1533-position model. The record is from RNAcentral. Lineage: Bacteria; Pseudomonadati; Pseudomonadota; Gammaproteobacteria; Moraxellales; Moraxellaceae.